UGCUUUACACAUCCAAGUCGAGCGGCAGCGCGGGGGCAACCCUGGCGGCGAGCGGCGAACGGGUGAGUAACAUAUCGGAACGUACCCUGUCGUGGGGGAUAACACAUCGAAAGAUGUGCUAAUACCACAUACGACCUGAGGGUGAAAGCGGGGGAUCGCAAGACCUCGCGCGAUAGGAGCGGCCGAUAUCGGAUUAGCUAGUUGGUGGGGUAAAGGCUCACCAAGGCGACGAUCCGUAGCUGGUCUGAGAGGAUGAUCAGCCACACUGGGACUGAGACACGGCCCAGACUCCUACGGGAGGCAGCAGUGGGGAAUUUUGGACAAUGGGGGCAACCCUGAUCCAGCCAUUCCGCGUGAGUGAAGAAGGCCUUCGGGUUGUAAAACUC
Molecule: ribosomal RNA, 386 nt
Filed under: uncultured organism
Description: bacterial SSU rRNA
Rfam family: Bacterial small subunit ribosomal RNA
Source: RNAcentral